RNAcentral lists this ribosomal RNA (497 nucleotides) under uncultured bacterium. Its description in RNAcentral is "partial 16S ribosomal RNA". It matches the Rfam family "Bacterial small subunit ribosomal RNA", at positions 28 to 507 of the family's 1533-position model. The record is from RNAcentral.
GAUGAACGCUGGCGGCGUGCCUAAUACAUGCAAGUCGAGCGAACAGACGAGGAGCUUGCUCCUCUGACGUUAGCGGCGGACGGGUGAGUAACACGUGGAUAACCUACCUAUAAGACUGGGAUAACUUCGGGAAACCGGAGCUAAUACCGGAUAAUAUAUUGAACCGCAUGGUUCAAUAGUGAAAGACGGUUUUGCUGUCACUUAUAGAUGGAUCCGCGCCGCAUUAGCUAGUUGGUAAGGUAACGGCUUACCAAGGCAACGAUGCGUAGCCGACCUGAGAGGGUGAUCGGCCACACUGGAACUGAGACACGGUCCAGACUCCUACGGGAGGCAGCAGUAGGGAAUCUUCCGCAAUGGGCGAAAGCUUGACGGAGCAACGCCGCGUGAGUGAUGAAGGUCUUCGGAUCGUAAAACUCUGUUAUUAGGGAAGAACAAAUGUGUAAGUAACUAUGCACGUCUUGACGGUACAUAAUCAGAAAGCCACGGCUAACUACGUG